GGGCUUGACUGGAAUUGACAGCGAGUAAAAUUGGUAUGUAAGCAUGCAGAGCUUUGUAUGAGUAGCUCUUUAAUCUGAACAUACAACAAUCUAAUUGGCGAAAAUAACUACGCUCUUGCUGCUUAAUCGAAUAACAGUAGAUUAGCUUAAUUUCGGUACAAGGUGCUGAAACAAGACAUCUCUCAAAUGCCCACUCCUUGAGGCGGUUUGAUAUAGAGGUGCUAACUAAAUCAGGGAUAGCUUAUCAUCGCCUCGUAUGGUAAGUGAAAAUAAAGAGGAUAAGGUUGUAGUUGGUGGUUUCGGUCUUGCUACAACACGAAAAUAAAAGCGAAAAUAAGCAUGUAGAAAGCGUAUUAAUUUCUUGUUUGGACGAGGGUUCGACUCCCUCCAGGUCCACCA
This 399-nucleotide transfer-messenger RNA is filed under the name Paludibacteraceae. RNAcentral's name for it is "JAAYPI01 sp012519885 Standard tmRNA". It matches the Rfam family "transfer-messenger RNA". From Rfam's summary of the family: Bacterial tmRNA, also known as 10Sa RNA or SsrA, is named for its dual tRNA and mRNA-like properties. Its role is to liberate the mRNA from a stalled ribosome. The record is from RNAcentral. Lineage: Bacteria; Pseudomonadati; Bacteroidota; Bacteroidia; Bacteroidales. RNAcentral also lists the same sequence under 2 other names.